Lathyrus oleraceus (garden pea) is the source of this 3847-nucleotide RNA transcript. It is a transcript of the gene named pentatricopeptide repeat-containing protein At1g62590, with no coding region annotated. The record is from RefSeq and is a predicted model, not a curated record. NCBI's taxonomy places the organism in Eukaryota, Viridiplantae, Streptophyta, Magnoliopsida, Fabales, Fabaceae. The transcript has 3 exons.
UAAAUCCUUUCACUGUUUCCUUCUUCCAAGUUGAAAAAGCAAAAUCGAAACUUUGCCGCAAAAACAAAAACAACAACAAUGUCAGUGUUGAGAUUAAGGUACGCUUUCCCUGUCCCAUCUCCCAACUUGUUUCUUCUUCGAUUACACUCUCACGCUCACUCCCCAUUAGAUCGCAACGUUGUUGCUGUUGACGAUGCUAUUUCCUCUUUCAAUCGCAUGCUCAAUAUGAACCCUACCCCUUCCAUCUCCAAAUUCGGCAAAAUCUUAGCUUCCCUCGUUAAGAUCAAUCAUUUCCAUACCGCUAUUUCCCUUUUCCGGAAAAUGGAAUUUAGAGGAAUUCAAACCGACAUUGUUAAUUUAAGCAUCUUGAUUAAUUGUUUCUGCCACCUUCGUCAACUCAAUUUCGCAUUUUCUGUAUUGGCCAAGAUUCUCAAGCUAGGUUAUCACCCUAAUACCAUAACAAUGACCACACUUAUCAAAGGUCUAUGUCUUAAUGGCAGGGUUAAUGAAGCUCUUCACUUUCACGACGAAGUUAUAGCGAAGGGGUUUCAUCUUGAUCGGGUUAGUUACGGGACGUUGAUUAACGGAUUAUGUAGAAUAGGAGAAACAAGAGCUGCCAUGCAGGUUUUGAGAAAGAUUGAAGGGUUGUUGGUUAAGCCGGACGUCGUCAUGUACAAUACAGUCAUUAAUAGUCUGGUGAAAGAUAAACUUGUGAAUGAAGCCUUUAAUUUAUAUUCUGAAAUGAUUGUUAAGAGAAUUUCUCCUGAUAUUAUCACUUACAAUACUUUAAUAUAUGGCCUUUGCAUUGUCGGUCGAUUGAAAGAAGUAAUAGGUUUGUUAAAUGAAAUGUUGUUGAAGAAUAUCAGCCCGAAUGUUCGUACUUUCAAUACGUUGAUUGAUGGUUUAUGUAAAGAAGGAGAUGUGAAAGGAGCUACAAGUGUUUUAGCUAUUAUGAUAAAACAAAGCGUGGAACUAAAUGUUGUCAGUUAUAAUUUAUUGAUCGAUGGGUAUUUCUUGGUUAAAGAAGUGAACAAGGCAAAAAAUGUGUUUGACUCUAUUGUCUUGACAAGAGGGGAACCUGAUCUUCACAGUUACAAUAUCAUGAUUGAUGGAUUAUGUAAGAAUAAAAUGGUGGAUGAAGCUCUGAUUCUUUUUAAAGAAAUGUGUUCCAAAAGUAUGACUCCUAGUACGAUAACAUAUAGUUCUCUUAUUGAUGGACUUUGCAAAUCAGGGAGAAUCUCUGAUGUUUGGGAUCUUAUAGAUGAGAUGCAUGAUAGAGGCCAACCUGCUGAUGUGAUCACCUACACUUCCUUAAUGGAUGCUUUAUGCAAAAACCAUAAUCUCGACAAGGCAAUUGCGUUAUUUAGGAAAAUUAAGGAUCUGGGUUUUCAAGCAAAUGUCUACACGUACACGGUAUUAAUUGAUGGACUGUGCAGCUGUGGAAGACUUAAGGAUGCACAAGAGGUUUUUAGGAUACUUCUGACUAAUGACUAUCAUUUAAAUGUUUGCACGUAUACUGUUAUGAUUAAAGGGCUUUGUAAAGAGGGCUUGUUUGAUGAAACAUUGGCAUUGCUUUCGAAAAUGGAAGACGAUGGUUGCAUUCCUAAUGCCAUAACUUAUGAGAUAGUUAUUCAAGCUCUGUUAAAAAAAGGCAAGAAAAAUAUGGCAGUGAAACUUCUUUGUGAAAUGAGUGCUAGAGGUCUACUAUAAGAGUAAAACAAGUUUGGAUGCUUCUGCUUUUGAUAUUAGCAUCUAAGGGGGAGAUUUUGCUACUGUGAAGUCUUGGAUCACAACAAUUUUGUUCAUAACCUCUUGAGUCUUGUUCAUAACCUCUUAAUGUCAAUAUGGUUGUCCUCCUACCACUUGUAUAUAAAACUUGUACUGCUCAUCUUAGUCCUCCAUAAAUGUUCAUCUUAGUCCUCCAUAAGUGUUAGGAUUCUCCUCUGUAUCGGAGCUUUGCUCUGAGAGUAGUUAGAGAAGCUCUAUAUUUCUAUUAUCAUUCUAUUAACAAUAUUGUAUUAUUUAUCUAAAUUUAUAAUUGUUAUUUGCCGAAUCUUUUCCUCUAUUAUCCCUUGUUUUGGUUGCGAUUACAUUGGUCUCUAUCAGUUAAAUGAUUGGUUUAGCGUUUGUAAAACUCCAAAUGAUUGUCUAGGUAAAAUCCAAUUUCUUAUUGCUUUAUGUGUAGGAUUUCAAAACUAGACCAAACUUUUUAUCUAACUGAUCAAACUAAUUUUGUUUUCAGAUUGAAAUCCAAGAGCAUUGACAUUAAGAUAAUUGUUUCUCAAUGGAUUUAUGAAUUAUGCCUUGGUUUGUUUCUGAAUUUAAUGGUCAGUGUUAGUGCUAUUGUAUCCUUCAAUCAUUUAAUCAAAAUUCAGUGCUGUUUAUUCUUCCAUCUCUUUUUCUUUGCAUUUUAAUUGCAUCUCCCAUUGGUCAGACAGAGCUUGAAAAAAAUUUAUAUAUAGUGACACCGCCCAUCUUACAGAAUGAAAAUAAUAUUAUCCUACCAAGUACAAGUUGGUCAAUCAUCUAAGAUUAGGCCUGGUCAGGAGCAUUUCCUCACAGUAUUAUACCAAAAUUUUUAGGUGCCAGUGUUAUCCGUAUACAAUAUUACCCUAAAAAAUUUAACAGUAGCAAUGUCAUGGAUUUAAAUUAUUACAACUUGAUAUUAUUACUAUUAUUUGAUUUGAGAUAGGUUUAGUAGGACCAACCAUAGUUCUAUUAUUAGUAUUGUAAUUAGAAUUUUGGUUGCCAUGACUUAGUGUAUUCUUGUAUUCUUAGCAGUGAUCUACAGUAUAUGGUGAUUUAUUGACCUGGUUCAGUAUUAAUCUGAUGAGUAUAUUUGAAUUUCUGCCUUCUUUUUGUGAUGAGAUUGAAAAGAUGAUGAGUUCCUUUUGGUAGGUCAUAAUGCUAAUCGGUUGUGUGGAAUUCAUUGUCUUAUCACUCAUCUUUUCAAAGCAAAAUAUUUUCCAGUGAUUUUCAUGAUGGCACUGGUGAUAUGUCUUAAUGAUGGCACUGGUACACCUGCAGGUUUCAGACUUAUUACGGCCAGAGGUGAAGAAUUGGAACACAAAUAUGAUCAACCACGUAUUUGACAUGUAUAUGGCUGCUAGAGUUCUGUUGGUGCCACUGUUCAAUUCGGUUGUUGAUGACUGAUGCGUUUGGAAAGAGGUGAAGCGUUUGCAAGAAAGAGGAGCGGGGUGCUCGCCCAAUUGCAGUUAUGAUAUCGAGCAAAUGGAAGAAUACAAAUUUCCGCAUCUGGGAGGACCAAACAGAAAUGCACCCGCUAGUAAUUAGGUGUGCAAUCCAGCUGCUCACAAACUGGAAUUCUGCUCAAAUUACGCAUCAGCAGCGGGCUAUCAGUUCAGGUAGGGCUGAUCUGGUGCACUGGAAGAAGCCCGCCCCUCCGUGGUUUAAAUGCGAUGUAGACACAUCUUUUGCUUCUCAAAUUCGGGUAGGUUUUGGUAAACGUGUAUUCGAGAUGAGGAUGGGAGCUUUUGCUUAUUGAUCUGUUUGAUUGGGAAAGCAGCCAAGAAGUUCAGUUUAGGCACCUCUAGAAAAAAGAUGUGUCAUUGUUGGUGUCUGAAACUGACGAGAAUAUUUGUUAUUACAUUUGAUUUAUUCCGUUAAAAAAAUAUUAUCAUUGGUAUCGACGUGUCAGUAUCGGUGUCGUGUUUCCGAUGUCCGUGUUUUAUAGGCGAACGAGUGAUUAUAUCAGUCAGCCACUUAAUCAGACCUGAAAAUGUAAAUGUAGUCAUCUUGUGAGAGUGAUACUGGCUCAUGUUCGUUUAAUUUAUGCCUGUAUUAAUGAUUAUUGUUAUUCUAUUCUCAAUGCAUUCAGUUUGCAGAA